RNAcentral lists this ribosomal RNA (314 nucleotides) under Amblyomma sp. MI13-069. RNAcentral's name for it is "partial 12S ribosomal RNA". Lineage: Eukaryota; Metazoa; Arthropoda; Arachnida; Ixodida; Ixodidae. The record is from RNAcentral.
AACUAACUAUAACGAAAACAAAAAAUUAUGGCGGUACUUUAAGCUUUUCAGAGGAAUUUGCUCUUUAAUGGAUAAAACACCUGAAUCUUACUAAAAUUGGUUUAAAAUCAGUUUGUAUACCACUAUUAAAGUAUUAAUUUAUAACUAUUACUUCAAUUUUUUUUAAAAAUUAAAUUAAGUCAUGGUGCAGCAAAAAUUUUAGGAUGAAGUGAAUUACAUUUCUUUUUAGAAUUUCGAAUUUUGAAAGUAAAGAUAGGAUUUGAAAGUAAAAAUACAAUAUUAUGAUAUUUUGAAUUAAGUUCUGAAGUAUGUAC